CGGGGAGUGGCUGGCUGUUGGUAUGCCACAACCGCCUGUAAAGCGGUGCCUCGUGCUUCGGGGGUUCGAUUCCCUCCUCCCCGCCCA
This 87-nucleotide transfer RNA is filed under the name Myxococcales bacterium. Its description in RNAcentral is "tRNA-Tyr". It matches the Rfam family "tRNA". From Rfam's summary of the family: Transfer RNA (tRNA) molecules are approximately 80 nucleotides in length. Their secondary structure includes four short double-helical elements and three loops (D, anti-codon, and T loops). Lineage: Bacteria; Pseudomonadati; Myxococcota; Myxococcia; Myxococcales. The record is from RNAcentral.